UUUUUGUUAUUACAGGUAUGCCAUUGUUUUACAAAUUAUAUAUAUGGAUCUUUUUUAUUUGUUUCUUUUCUUUCUUCUCCGUUCUCUCUCUUCUCUCUUGCUCAUCUCCGUGACUCUGCUAGCGACGACAGCGAGCUGUUGCCGUUCGAACGCCGGCAAAUCGGACCUUAUCGUUACUGCUAGUCGUCUCCCAUUCCUUUCAAUAUAUACUAAAACUCAAAUAUAACUGAAGCACUGUUCAUAAGCACAGUGUGUUUCUUUUUUUUACCCUGUUAGGUUUUUGUUAUUAUAGUUAUGUCAUUGUUUUACAAAUUAUAUAUAUGGAUCUUUUUUAUUUGUUUCUUUUCUUUCUUCUCCGUUCUCUCUCUUCUCUCUCGCUCCUCUCUGUGACUCUGCUAGCGACGACAGCGAGCUGUUGCCGUCUGAACGCCGGCAAAUCGGACCUCAUCGUUACCACCAGUCGUCUCCCUUUCAUCUCAAGAACAAGAAAGUUGUUGCAUGCCUCGAAUCGUUAUUGUUUCAACGAGGGUUUUUGAACUUAACCCCAAUUGCGUGGGUGAGACGCGUAAUUCUACAACCUCUUCAAGGUGUACACGCAGCUAGGAAAAUUUCAGCAAGAAAAAUCCCCAGAAACUCCUCCUCCUGUUUUGUCAUUGAUAUCUCAGCUCUGUCUCUCUCAAUCUUGAGUGUGAGAAAAUGGCUUGAAAAUUGGAAUUUCCAAUAUUUGGGCAAAGGAAAACAAGAAGAGAACACCAAUAGUGGUGACGAUGGAGAAUCCCUUCUUUGCAGUGGAAAUCGACGAUCUAUGUGCAACAUUCAGUGCAGUUUAUAAGAGCAGAGGUCAAAAUGAAGAAUCAAUGACAUGGGGAUUUGUUUAAUUUUAUCAAGUUUUGUAUUGAGGUAAAACUCCCCCCAUUUAACAUAGUUUUAAAUGCUGAUUAGUAUGUGUGUAAAUAAGAUUGUGAG
Molecule: long non-coding RNA, 966 nt
Organism: Malus domestica (apple)
Lineage: Eukaryota; Viridiplantae; Streptophyta; Magnoliopsida; Rosales; Rosaceae
Source: RefSeq, a predicted model, not a curated record